GAUGAAGAACGCAGCGAAAUGCGAUAAGUAAUGUGAAUUGCAGAAUUCAGUGAAUCAUCGAAUCUUUGAACGCACAUUGCGCCCGCCAGUAUUCUGGCGAGCAUGCCUGUUCGAGCGUCAUUUCAACCAUCAAGCCCCAGGCUUGUGUUGGAGCCCUGCGGCUGCCGCAGCCUCCCAAAACCAGUGGCGGGCUCGCUAUCACACCGAGUGCAGUAGUUUACUCUUCGCUCAGGGCGUGUGGCGGGUGCUAGCCGUGAAACCCCCAACUUCUCAAGGUUGACCUCGGAUCAGGUAGGAAUACCCGCUGAACUUAAGCAUAUCAAUAAGCGGAUGA
This 334-nucleotide unclassified non-coding RNA is filed under the name soil metagenome. RNAcentral's name for it is "partial contains 5.8S ribosomal RNA, internal transcribed spacer 2, and large subunit ribosomal RNA". The stretch from base 1 to 120 matches the Rfam family "5.8S ribosomal RNA", at positions 35 to 154 of the family's 154-position model. The record is from RNAcentral.